RNAcentral lists this ribosomal RNA (253 nucleotides) under uncultured bacterium. RNAcentral's name for it is "partial 16S ribosomal RNA". It matches the Rfam family "Bacterial small subunit ribosomal RNA", at positions 524 to 776 of the family's 1533-position model. The record is from RNAcentral.
UACGUAGGGGGCAAGCGUUGUCCGGAAUCAUUGGGCGUAAAGAGCGUGUAGGCGGCCCGAUAAGUCCGCUGUGAAAGUCCAGGGCUCAACCCUGGGAUGCCGGUGGAUACUGUCGGGCUCGAGUCCGGAAGAGGAGUGUGGAAUUCCUGGUGUAGCGGUGAAAUGCGCAGAUAUCAGGAGGAACACCAAUGGCGAAGGCAGCACUCUGGGACGUGACUGACGCUGAGGCGCGAAAGCGUGGGGAGCGAACAGG